This 457-nucleotide ribosomal RNA is filed under the name uncultured bacterium. RNAcentral describes it as "bacterial SSU rRNA". It matches the Rfam family "Bacterial small subunit ribosomal RNA", at positions 335 to 784 of the family's 1533-position model. The record is from RNAcentral.
ACUCCUACGGGAGGCAGCAGUGGGGAAUAUUGCACAAUGGGCGCAAGCCUGAUGCAGCCAUGCCGCGUGUAUGAAGAAGGCCUUCGGGUUGUAAAGUACUUUCAGCAGUGAGGAAGGCGGGUACGUUAAUAGCGUGCUCGUUUGACGUUAGCUGCAGAAGAAGCACCGGCUAACUCCGUGCCAGCAGCCGCGGUAAUACGGAGGGUGCGAGCGUUAAUCGGAAUUACUGGGCGUAAAGCGCAUGCAGGUGGUUUGUUAAGUCAGAUGUGAAAGCCCGGGGCUCAACCUCGGAAUUGCAUUUGAAACUGGCAGACUAGAGUACUGUAGAGGGGGGUAGAAUUUCAGGUGUAGCGGUGAAAUGCGUAGAGAUCUGAAGGAAUACCGGUGGCGAAGGCGGCCCCCUGGACAGAUACUGACACUCAGAUGCGAAAGCGUGGGGAGCAAACAGGAUUAGAUA